This 349-nucleotide ribosomal RNA is filed under the name uncultured Bacillota bacterium. RNAcentral describes it as "bacterial SSU rRNA". It matches the Rfam family "Bacterial small subunit ribosomal RNA", at positions 28 to 351 of the family's 1533-position model. Lineage: Bacteria; Bacillati; Bacillota. The record is from RNAcentral.
GACGAACGCUGGCGGCGUGCCUAAUACAUGCAAGUCGAGCGAGCUGAACCAGCAGAUUCACUUCGGUGAUGACGCUGGGAACGCGAGCGGCGGAUGGGUGAGUAACACGUGGGUAACCUGCCCUAAAGUCUGGGAUACCACUUGGAAACAGGUGCUAAUACCGGAUAACAACAAUAGCUGCAUGGCUAUUGUUUAAAAGGCGGCGUAAGCUGUCGCUAAAGGAUGGACCCGCGGUGCAUUAGCUAGUUGGUAAGGUAACGGCUUACCAAGGCGACGAUGCAUAGCCGAGUUGAGAGACUGAUCGGCCACAUUGGGACUGAGACACGGCCCAAACUCCUACGGGUGGCUG